GACGAACGCUGGCGGCGUGCUUAACACAUGCAAGUCGAACGGAAAGGCCCUGCUUUUGUGGGGUGCUCGAGUGGCGAACGGGUGAGUAACACGUGAGUAACCUGCCCUUGACUUUGGGAUAACUUCAGGAAACUGGGGCUAAUACCGGAUAGGAGCUCCUGCUGCAUGGUGGGGGUUGGAAAGUUUCGGCGGUUGGGGAUGGACUCGCGGCUUAUCAGCUUGUUGGUGGGGUAGUGGCUUACCAAGGCUUUGACGGGUAGCCGGCCUGAGAGGGUGACCGGCCACAUGGGGACUGAGAUACGGCCCAGACUCCUACGGGAGGCAGGAGUGGGGAAUAUUGCACAAUGGGCGGAAGCCUGAUGCAGCAACGCCGCGUGCGGGAUGAAGGCCUUCGGGUUGUAAACCGCUUUCGCCUGUGACGAAGCGUGAGUGACGGUAAUGGGUAAAGAAGCACCGGCUAACUACGU
RNAcentral lists this ribosomal RNA (467 nucleotides) under uncultured bacterium. RNAcentral describes it as "partial 16S ribosomal RNA". It matches the Rfam family "Bacterial small subunit ribosomal RNA", at positions 28 to 506 of the family's 1533-position model. The record is from RNAcentral.